ACCAAAUUCCGAAAGGGAGAUAACCAGCUCAGGCAUGUGUUAAGGAAAAAUAAUCCUGUGUCUUCUUUGUAUUACUUUGUAGAUUACAGACUAUUUCAUAAAAGUGUGAAAUAAGUCUUACACAGAACGCUUUCUAUCACUAAGCUCACCGGGUAAAAAUCAGAAAAACAAACAUCUCCAAAAUUGCCAUUUUCAGAAGUAUCAGAACAACCCUACAAGAAUAAGAGAUGCAAGAAGUAGAAUGAGCUGUUGUGAGGAUCAAAUAACAGUAAAUGUGAAAGAAGUUUAUAAAUUGCUGAGUGCAAUAUAAGGUUUACCCUUCCCUGUGUUGAGCUCUAUGGAAGAUGUUAUUGUUAAGAUGAUCAACAGAAGCAUUCACAACCGAUAAAUCCUCCCCAAGAAGCCCAGUCCAUAUGUAAGAGCACAUGUUGAGCUCAAGACUUCAUAUGUAGAGGCUUGACAGUUAAGGAUAACUGGUAGGGGCUGGGCAUGGUGGCUCAUGCCUAUAAUCCCAGAGCUUUGAGGGGCUGAGGCUGGAAGAUUGCUUAAGUCCAGGAGUUCAAGACCAGUCUGGGCAACAGAGCAAGACCCUGUCUUCACAAAAACUUAAAAAAGUAGCUGAGCGUGGUGGUACAUGCCUGUAAUCCCAACCACUCA
Long non-coding RNA from Gorilla gorilla gorilla (western lowland gorilla), 657 nucleotides. RefSeq lists it as uncharacterized. The record is from RefSeq and is a predicted model, not a curated record. The transcript has 3 exons. NCBI's taxonomy places the organism in Eukaryota, Metazoa, Chordata, Mammalia, Primates, Hominidae.